Molecule: ribosomal RNA, 155 nt
Filed under: Morganella morganii
Lineage: Bacteria; Pseudomonadati; Pseudomonadota; Gammaproteobacteria; Enterobacterales; Morganellaceae
Description: partial 16S ribosomal RNA
Rfam family: Bacterial small subunit ribosomal RNA
Source: RNAcentral
UAAUUGAAGAGUUUGAUCAUGGCUCAGAUUGAACGCUGGCGGCAGGCCUAACACAUGCAAGUCGGGCGGUAACAGGGAGAAGCUUGCUUCUCCGCUGACGAGCGGCGGACGGGUGAGUAAUGUAUGGGGAUCUGCCUGAUGGCGGGGGAUAACUA